UACGAAGGGGGCGAGCGUUGUUCGGAUUUACUGGGCGUAAAGGGCGCGCAGGCGGCUUAUUUUGUCAGGCGUGAAAGCCCCGGGCUUAACCUGGGAACUGCGUUUGAUACGGAUGGGCUAGAGUUCGGGAGAGGAGAGUGGAAUUCCCAGUGUAGAGGUGAAAUUCGUAGAUAUCGGGAGGAACACCAGUGGCGAAGGCGGCUAUCUGGACGAAUACUGACGCUGAAGUUCGAAAGCGUGGGGAGCAAACAGG
Molecule: ribosomal RNA, 253 nt
Filed under: uncultured bacterium
Lineage: Bacteria
Description: partial 16S ribosomal RNA
Rfam family: Bacterial small subunit ribosomal RNA
Source: RNAcentral